CUACAUUGCACUGACUUGACAAUGACAGCCUGCCCAUGAACCUGUGCUGUGACCGCAUCCUGCAAGUGCUGGCUGGUGCAUCUCUCUACACCCUUCACAGCUACCACCUAGUCCUACUCAUGAGUCUUCCGGUUGCCUGGACAGUUCUGCGGAAUGAGGCUGGACUCAGCCAACCUUGCUCCUGUGCUAGCGUUGUCCUUACUGAGAGUGAAGCAAUCCGCUUGAGUAACUGCUCCCACGACUCCGAUCUCACCAUCAUGGGGCGUGCACGAGAACCACCCAGGUACCCACUCAUGCAGAAUGCACAGAAGCCGACAGACGGUGGAGAUCACCUGAAUUACACAGAGCUUGGACCCAGUAACCCCCCGGGGUGGUGCCAGUGUGAAGGUGCUCUUCCCACCACCACUACAUCAUCUGGAGUGGGUAGGAUGGGAAAAGCAUCCCUCUCAUGGACCUGGGAGCCCUCCUGUUCUUAAGCUUGGUACACACAUACCUGCCCUUAUGCCUGGAUCGCCCCUACUUUCCCUCUGAAACUAAACUGAACCUUCCCUGCACCCUUGAGUCCACAUCUGACUUUGUGCUCCUACGGCUUGUACACAUAUCAAACUCAGCCCCCCUCGCC
This 622-nucleotide long non-coding RNA is filed under the name Mustela putorius furo (domestic ferret). RNAcentral describes it as "lncRNA (ENSMPUG00000027787.1)". Lineage: Eukaryota; Metazoa; Chordata; Mammalia; Carnivora; Mustelidae. The record is from RNAcentral.